Molecule: ribosomal RNA, 2906 nt
Filed under: Salmonella enterica
Lineage: Bacteria; Pseudomonadati; Pseudomonadota; Gammaproteobacteria; Enterobacterales; Enterobacteriaceae
Description: 23S ribosomal RNA
Rfam family: Bacterial large subunit ribosomal RNA
Source: RNAcentral
GGUUAAGCGACUAAGCGUACACGGUGGAUGCCCUGGCAGUCAGAGGCGAUGAAGGGCGUGCUAAUCUGCGAUAAGCGCCGGUAAGGUGAUAUGAACCGUUAUAACCGGCGAUACCCGAAUGGGGAAACCCAGUGUGACUCGUCACACUAUCAUUAACUGAAUCCAUAGGUUAAUGAGGCGAACCGGGGGAACUGAAACAUCUAAGUACCCCGAGGAAAAGAAAUCAACCGAGAUUCCCCCAGUAGCGGCGAGCGAACGGGGAGGAGCCCAGAGCCUGAAUCAGCAUGUGUGUUAGUGGAAGCGUCUGGAAAGGCGCGCGAUACAGGGUGACAGCCCCGUACACAAAAGCGCAUGUGCUGUGAGCUCGAUGAGUAGGGCGGGACACGUGGUAUCCUGUCUGAAUAUGGGGGGACCAUCCUCCAAGGCUAAAUACUCCUGACUGACCGAUAGUGAACCAGUACCGUGAGGGAAAGGCGAAAAGAACCCCGGCGAGGGGAGUGAAAAAGAACCUGAAACCGUGUACGUACAAGCAGUGGGAGCACCCUUUGGGGUGUGACUGCGUACCUUUUGUAUAAUGGGUCAGCGACUUAUAUUCUGUAGCAAGGUUAACCGAAUAGGGGAGCCGCAGGGAAACCGAGUCUUAAUUGGGCGUUAAGUUGCAGGGUAUAGACCCGAAACCCGGUGAUCUAGCCAUGGGCAGGUUGAAGGUUGGGUAACACUAACUGGAGGACCGAACCGACUAAUGUUGAAAAAUUAGCGGAUGACCUGUGGCUGGGGGUGAAAGGCCAAUCAAACCGGGAGAUAGCUGGUUCUCCCCGAAAGCUAUUUAGGUAGCGCCUCGUGAACUCAUCUCCGGGGGUAGAGCACUGUUUCGGCUAGGGGGCCAUCCCGGCUUACCAACCCGAUGCAAACUGCGAAUACCGGAGAAUGUUAUCACGGGAGACACACGGCGGGUGCUAACGUCCGUCGUGAAGAGGGAAACAACCCAGACCGCCAGCUAAGGUCCCAAAGUCAUGGUUAAGUGGGAAACGAUGUGGGAAGGCCCAGACAGCCAGGAUGUUGGCUUAGAAGCAGCCAUCAUUUAAAGAAAGCGUAAUAGCUCACUGGUCGAGUCGGCCUGCGCGGAAGAUGUAACGGGGCUAAACCAUGCACCGAAGCUGCGGCAGCGACGCUGAUGCGUUGUUGGGUAGGGGAGCGUUCUGUAAGCCUGCGAAGGUGGCCUGUGAGGGUUGCUGGAGGUAUCAGAAGUGCGAAUGCUGACAUAAGUAACGAUAAAGCGGGUGAAAAGCCCGCUCGCCGGAAGACCAAGGGUUCCUGUCCAACGUUAAUCGGGGCAGGGUGAGUCGACCCCUAAGGCGAGGCCGAAAGGCGUAGUCGAUGGGAAACGGGUUAAUAUUCCCGUACUUGGUGUUACUGCGAAGGGGGGACGGAGAAGGCUAUGUUGGCCGGGCGACGGUUGUCCCGGUUUAAGCGUGUAGGUGUGUGUUCCAGGUAAAUCCGGUUCACUUUAACACUGAGGCGUGACGACGAGGCACUACGGUGCUGAAGCAACAAAUGCCCUGCUUCCAGGAAAAGCCUCUAAGCAUCAGGUAACAUCAAAUCGUACCCCAAACCGACACAGGUGGUCAGGUAGAGAAUACCAAGGCGCUUGAGAGAACUCGGGUGAAGGAACUAGGCAAAAUGGUGCCGUAACUUCGGGAGAAGGCACGCUGACACGUAGGUGAAGUGAUUUACUCAUGGAGCUGAAGUCAGUCGAAGAUACCAGCUGGCUGCAACUGUUUAUUAAAAACACAGCACUGUGCAAACACGAAAGUGGACGUAUACGGUGUGACGCCUGCCCGGUGCCGGAAGGUUAAUUGAUGGGGUCAGCGCAAGCGAAGCUCCUGAUCGAAGCCCCGGUAAACGGCGGCCGUAACUAUAACGGUCCUAAGGUAGCGAAAUUCCUUGUCGGGUAAGUUCCGACCUGCACGAAUGGCGUAAUGAUGGCCAGGCUGUCUCCACCCGAGACUCAGUGAAAUUGAACUCGCUGUGAAGAUGCAGUGUACCCGCGGCAAGACGGAAAGACCCCGUGAACCUUUACUAUAGCUUGACACUGAACAUUGAGCCUUGAUGUGUAGGAUAGGUGGGAGGCUUUGAAGUGUGGACGCCAGUCUGCAUGGAGCCGACCUUGAAAUACCACCCUUUAAUGUUUGAUGUUCUAACGUGGACCCGUAAUCCGGGUUGCGGACAGUGUCUGGUGGGUAGUUUGACUGGGGCGGUCUCCUCCUAAAGAGUAACGGAGGAGCACGAAGGUUGGCUAAUCCUGGUCGGACAUCAGGAGGUUAGUGCAAUGGCAUAAGCCAGCUUGACUGCGAGCGUGACGGCGCGAGCAGGUGCGAAAGCAGGUCAUAGUGAUCCGGUGGUUCUGAAUGGAAGGGCCAUCGCUCAACGGAUAAAAGGUACUCCGGGGAUAACAGGCUGAUACCGCCCAAGAGUUCAUAUCGACGGCGGUGUUUGGCACCUCGAUGUCGGCUCAUCACAUCCUGGGGCUGAAGUAGGUCCCAAGGGUAUGGCUGUUCGCCAUUUAAAGUGGUACGCGAGCUGGGUUUAGAACGUCGUGAGACAGUUCGGUCCCUAUCUGCCGUGGGCGCUGGAGAACUGAGGGGGGCUGCUCCUAGUACGAGAGGACCGGAGUGGACGCAUCACUGGUGUUCGGGUUGUCAUGCCAAUGGCACUGCCCGGUAGCUAAAUGCGGAAGAGAUAAGUGCUGAAAGCAUCUAAGCACGAAACUUGCCCCGAGAUGAGUUCUCCCUGAGACUUAGAGUCUCCUGAAGGAACGUUGAAGACGACGACGUUGAUAGGCCGGGUGUGUAAGCGCAGCGAUGCGUUGAGCUAACCGGUACUAAUGAACCGUGAGGCUUAACCUU